RNAcentral lists this ribosomal RNA (465 nucleotides) under uncultured bacterium. RNAcentral describes it as "partial 16S ribosomal RNA". It matches the Rfam family "Bacterial small subunit ribosomal RNA", at positions 338 to 795 of the family's 1533-position model. The record is from RNAcentral.
ACUACGGGAGGCAGCAGUAGGGAAUCUUCCACAAUGGACGAAAGUCUGAUGGAGCAACGCCGCGUGAGUGAAGAAGGGUUUCGGCUCGUAAAGCGCUGUUGGUAGUGAAGAAAGAUAGAGGUAGUAACUGGCCUUUAUUGGACGGUAAUUACUUAGAAAGUCACGGCUAACUACGUGCCAGCAGCCGCGGUAAUACGUAGGUGGCAAGCGUUGUCCGGAUUUAUUGGGCGUAAAGCGAGUGCAGGUGGGUCAAUACGUCGGAUGUGAAAGCCUUCGGCUCAACCGGAGAAUUGCAUCAGAAACUGUUGAACUUGAGUGCAGAAGAGGAGAGUGGAACUCCAUGUGUAGCGGUGGAAUGCGUAGAUAUAUGGAAGAACACCAGUGGCGAAGGCGGCUCUCUGGUCUGCAACUGACGCUGAGGCUCGAAAGCAUGGGUAGCGAACAGGAUUAGAUACCCCUGUAGUC